RNAcentral lists this ribosomal RNA (449 nucleotides) under uncultured bacterium. RNAcentral describes it as "SSU rRNA". It matches the Rfam family "Bacterial small subunit ribosomal RNA", at positions 26 to 518 of the family's 1533-position model. The record is from RNAcentral.
AGAGCGAACGCUGGCGGCAGGCUUAACACAUGCAAGUCGAGCGGGCGUAGCAAUACGUCAGCGGCAGACGGGUGAGUAACGCGUGGGAACGUACCUUUUGGUUCGGAAACAACCCAGGGAAACUUGGGCUAAUACCGGAUAAGCCCUUACGGGGAAAGAUUUAUCGCCGAAAGAUCGGCCCGCGUCUGAUUAGCUAGUUGGUGAGGUAAUGGCUCACCAAGGCGACGAUCAGUAGCUGGUCUGAGAGGAUGAUCAGCCACAUUGGGACUGAGACACGGCCCAAACUCCUACGGGAGGCAGCAGUGGGGAAUAUUGGACAAUGGGCGCAAGCCUGAUCCAGCCAUGCCGCGUGAGUGAUGAAGGCCCUAGGGUUGUAAAGCUCUUUUGUGCGGGAAGAUAAUGACGGUACCGCAAGAAUAAGCCCCGGCUAACUUCGUGCCAGCAGCCGC